This 292-nucleotide ribosomal RNA is filed under the name uncultured bacterium. Its description in RNAcentral is "partial 16S ribosomal RNA". The record is from RNAcentral. RNAcentral also lists the same sequence under 1 other name.
GGACUACAGGGGUUUCUAAUCCCGUUUGCUCCCCUAGCUUUCGCGCCUCAGCGUCAGUAGAGAUCCAGCAGGUCGCUUUCGCCACCGGCGUUCCUUCCGAUAUCUACGCAUUUCACCGCUCCACCGGAAGUUCCACCUGCCCCUACCUCCCUCUAGCCCACCAGUAUCAGGGGCACUUUUCCGGUUGAGCCGAAAGAUUUCACCCCUGACUUGAUGAGCCGCCUACGCGCCCUUUAAGCCCAGUGAAUCCGAACAACGUUUGCACGGUUCGUCUUACCGCGGCGGCUGGCAC